Molecule: ribosomal RNA, 253 nt
Filed under: uncultured bacterium
Lineage: Bacteria
Description: partial 16S ribosomal RNA
Rfam family: Bacterial small subunit ribosomal RNA
Source: RNAcentral
UACGUAGGGCGCAAGCGUUGUCCGGAUUUAUUGGGCGUAAAGAGCUCGUAGGCGGUCUGUCGCGUCGGAUGUGAAAACCCGGAACUCAACUCCGGGCCUGCAUUCGAUACGGGCAGACUUGAGUACUGCAGGGGAGACUGGAAUUCCUGGUGUAGCGGUGGAAUGCGCAGAUAUCAGGAGGAACACCGGUGGCGAAGGCGGGUCUCUGGGCAGAAACUGACGCUGAGGAGCGAGAGCGUGGGGAGCGAACAGG